UACCAGCCGCCGCGGUAAUACGGAAGGUCCAAGCGUUAAUCGGAACUACUGGGCUUAAAGAGUUCGUAGGUGGUUGAAAAAGUUGGUGGUGAAAUCCCAGAGCUUAACUCUGGAACUGCCAUCAAAGCUUUUCAGCUAGAGUAUGAUAGAGGAAAGCAGAAUUUCUAGUGUAGAGGUGAAAUUCGUAGAUAUUAGAAAGAAUACCAAUUGCGAAGGCAGCUUUCUGGAUCAUUACUGACGCUGAGGAACGAAAGCAUGGGUAGCGAAGAGGAUUAGAUA
This 279-nucleotide ribosomal RNA is filed under the name uncultured bacterium. Its description in RNAcentral is "partial 16S ribosomal RNA". It matches the Rfam family "Bacterial small subunit ribosomal RNA", at positions 506 to 784 of the family's 1533-position model. The record is from RNAcentral.